Molecule: ribosomal RNA, 1966 nt
Filed under: human gut metagenome
Description: bacterial LSU rRNA
Rfam family: Bacterial large subunit ribosomal RNA
Source: RNAcentral
UCAAGUUAUAAAGAGCACAGGGUGAAUGCCUUGGCACUAGGAGCCGACGAAAGACGUGGUAAGCUGCGAAAAGCUUCGGGGAGCUGCACACAAGCUUUGAUCCGGAGAUAUCUGAAUGGGGAAACCUAACUGAGAAAAGCUCAGUUAUCCAUACGUGAAUACAUAGCGUAUGGAAGGGACACGCUGGGAACUGAAACAUCUAAGUACCAGCAGGAGGAGAAAGAAAACUCGAUUUCCUGAGUAGCGGCGAGCGAAAAGGAAACAGGCCAAACCAGAGGACCUAGUUCUCUGGGGUUGCGGACUGCAUCAUGCAAUGGAGGCUAUGGUAGUCGAAGUGUUUUGGGAAAGCACACCGAAGAGGGUGAAAGUCCUGUAGACGAAACCAGAAAACCUGCAGCAGUAUCCAGAGUACCACGAGACACGAGAAACCCUGUGGGAAGCCGGGGGGACCACCCCCCAAGCCUAAAUACUCCCUAGUGACCGAUAGUGAAGUAGUACUGUGAAGGAAAGGUGAAAAGAACCCCGGGAGGGGAGUGAAAAAGAACCUGAAACCUUGUGCUUACAAACAGUCAGAGGACUUCGUGUCUGAUGGCGUACUUUUUGUAGAACGGUCCGGCGAGUUACUAGCACUAGCAAGGUUAAAUACUAAAAAGGUAUGGAGCCGAAGGGAAACCGAGUCUUAACAGGGCGUAUAGUUAGUGUUAGUAGACCCGAAACCGGGUGACCUAUCCAUGUCCAGGUUGAAGACACCGUAAAAGGUGUUGGAGGACCGAACACACAUCUGUUGAAAAAGGUGGUGAUGAGGUGUGGAUAGCGGAGAAAUUCCAAUCGAACUCGGAGAUAGCUGGUUCUCCUCGAAAUAGCUUUAGGGCUAGCCUCGAGAGGAGUCUAACGGAGGUAAAGCACUGAACUGAUGCGGGGCCCUAAAAGGUUACCAAGUCAUAUCAAACUAAGAAUGCCGUCAAGAUACCCUCGGGAGUCAGACUACGUGAGAUAAGUUUCGUGGUCAAAAGGGAAAGAGCCCAGACCGACAGCUAAGGUCCCAAAGUACGUGUUAAGUGGAAAAGGAUGUGGGAUUUCAUAGACAACUAGGAUGUUGGCUUAGAAGCAGCCAUACAUUUAAAGAGUGCGUAAUAGCUCACUAGUCGAGAAAACCUGCGCCGAAAAUGUAACGGGGCUAAAACACGACACCGAAGCUACGGAUUCCUUACAAAGUAAGGAGUGGUAGAGGAGCAUCCUGCAAGGACGAAGCCAAAGUGAGAGCGAUGGUGGACGAAACAGGAGAGAGAAUGCCGGAAUGAGUAGCGAGAUACAUGUGAGAAACAUGUAGGCCGAAUAUCUAAGGAUUCCUGGGUAAAGCUAAUCUUCCCAGGGUUAGUCGGGGCCUAAGGCGAGGACGAAAGUCGUAGUCGAUGGAUAACAGGUUGAUAUUCCUGUACUACACAUAAUCAGAACUGUGGGGACGCAGGAGGAUAGGGAAACCGGGGAAUGGAAAGACCCGGUCAAGCGUAAAGCUGUGGGAGAUAGGCAAAUCCGUCUCCUGUAAGUGAAACGUGAUGAGGACUGAAAAAAAGUAAGGAAGUUUCCGAAUCCACACUGCCGAGAAAAGCCGCUAUUGCGUUAUGUGUACCCGUACCGUAAACCGACACAGGUAGAUGAGGAGAAAAUCCACAGGCCGACGGGAGAAGUGUUGUUAAGGAACUCGGCAAAAUGACCCCGUAACUUCGGGAUAAGGGGAGCCUCGCAAGAGGCCGCAGAAAAGAGGCACAAGCAACUGUUUAGCAAAAACAUAGGUCUAUGCGAAACCGUAAGGUGAAGUAUAUGGGCUGACGCCUGCCCGGUGCUGGAAGGUCAAAAGGAGAGGUCAGCGCAAGCGAAGCUUUGAAUUCAAGCCCCAGUAAACGGCGGCCGUAACUAUAACGGUCCUAAGGUAGCGAAAUUCCUUGUCAGGUAAGUUCUGACCCGC